This 304-nucleotide long non-coding RNA is filed under the name Homo sapiens (human). RNAcentral describes it as "LHRI_LNC2043.1". The stretch from base 1 to 71 matches the Rfam family "tRNA", at positions 12 to 71 of the family's 71-position model. The record is from RNAcentral. Lineage: Eukaryota; Metazoa; Chordata; Mammalia; Primates; Hominidae.
CGAGCGGUCUAAGGCGCUGGAUUUAGGCUCCAGUCUCUUCGGGGGCGUGGGUUCGAAUCCCACCACUGCCAGUGGUACGUUUUAGCACAACAAGGAUCCUGAAGUACUAACACUUUCUAACUAGUAAAAUAAUUAAAUCUUCCUUUCCCAGGAUUCUCCCGGAUUACACAGCAUCAGUUCCUCUGAAUUCUGCAUUCGUAAUUAAAAUCCUGAUUUCCAAUUGGCAUUUCUUUCGGUUAGGCAGGGAGGCCUUCUCGCUCGCGGUCUCCUACUUUAUCCGUUGUACUGACUCUCUGGACCCCAG